UUUUGUCAACACGAAUGUCGUGGCAAUGCUAGGGAGAUCGAGUCAACACUCAACACAUACCAGUUAAAAUCUGCAUAAAAAAGAGGAGAAGAUAAUCUUUUGUUGUUGGUUUUUAUCAUAGGAAAAAAAGAAUUUAAAAAAAAAAGAAGAUAAGUUGUUGAAAAUAGAAAUUAAAAAGAGGAGAAGGUAAACAUGGGUUGUUGG
This 204-nucleotide long non-coding RNA is filed under the name Gossypium raimondii (Peruvian cotton). RNAcentral's name for it is "long non-coding RNA (GRAI_LNC001213)". Lineage: Eukaryota; Viridiplantae; Streptophyta; Magnoliopsida; Malvales; Malvaceae. The record is from RNAcentral.